This 431-nucleotide unclassified non-coding RNA is filed under the name Hevea brasiliensis (rubber tree). The record is from RNAcentral. Lineage: Eukaryota; Viridiplantae; Streptophyta; Magnoliopsida; Malpighiales; Euphorbiaceae.
UUUUUUUUUUUUUUUUUUUGGGUGCAAUGCAAUACUUUUAAGAAAAAUAAUACAAGCCUGAGCCAACAAUAGGCGUAACCAGAUUUUUACUGAGUUCACUCAAAACAAAACGAAACAAAAUGACGGGAACUACUUCAAAAAUCAGAAACAAGGAUUACAUGGCUCAAUUUAUAAAUCAUCUAUUUUGAAAACAAUAAAGGGCUUUUAUGAUGAUCAGUGACCAUAACCAACAUAUCAGGCAGAGAUAUCAAGCACAAAAUGCAGCUCCAACACUAAAAGUGUGUGUUUCGAGUGUAAGACAGAAACUGGAACUUCCAAAAUGUAGGGAGUAGUUUUCAGAGCAAGAGUAUUAUGUCUCCAGAUGAAAAAGCAAAUUGUGAAGAACAAAGAGGUCUCAGACACAUACUACUAUGUCUCCAUUAGAGAGAGAG